RNAcentral lists this ribosomal RNA (254 nucleotides) under uncultured bacterium. RNAcentral's name for it is "partial 16S ribosomal RNA". It matches the Rfam family "Bacterial small subunit ribosomal RNA", at positions 524 to 776 of the family's 1533-position model. The record is from RNAcentral.
UACGAAGGGGGGCUAGCGUUGCUCGGAAUCACUGGGCGUAAAGGGUGCGUAGGCGGGUCUUUAAGUCAGGGGUGAAAUCCUAGAGCUCAACUCCAGAACUGCCUUUGAUACUGAAGAUCUUGAGUUCGGGAGAGGUGAGUGGAACUGCGAGUGUAGAGGUGAAAUUCGUAGAUAUUCGCAAGAACACCAGUGGCGAAGGCGGCUCACUGGCCCGAUACUGACGCUGAGGCACGAAAGCGUGGGGAGCAAACAGG